AAUUUGGGGGGAGGAGGGACCGGAUUUCUCGGAAAGUGUUUUUUAAUUAUCUUUAACCAGUGGUAGUUUGCUUCAACUAUUAUAUUGGUUGUUAUAAAUGGCACUUCAUUUGAUUUCUUUAAAAAUUUUACGUGGCUUUCCGUUACUUGUAUAGAAACUAAGCCCGGGUAUGUACACUACGGUAACUCGCAGCGCCAUGUCUGCAAUUAAGAAAACAUUUUUUGAAUUUUGCACUUCCUGUGUUCAAAGUAAACAAUUUUAAUAUCCAAUGGACACAGAUUGCCCAACCACGCAUUAACUUACGAGAAAAGGUGAGCGAUGACUAUUUUUGGACCGAGUUCUCGCAUGGUUACCUUUGCCUUAGGAUAGAGCGUGGCAGACUGCCGUUUUUUUUCCCUUUACUAAGUCACACCCAGCCAAGGCAGAAAACAAAGACAAAAAACGCCCAGACAGACAGCGUCAGCAAAAUGCCCCUGCCCCCAUGCCCUCUAAAAGCGUCGGUCUCCGGGCUGUUAGCUGACGCUGUCGCCUCCCGUCCGGGGAACUUGGAGGUUCGCUUCUCGCGCAGGCGCCACCCUUAGGUGUCCAGAUGGGAGGGGGACGACGCGGUCUACCCCGGAAGCGCACCCUCGGCGCGGUUUUUCCCUGCCGUCCCGCCGCCCAGGCAGAAGGCGCCUUGCGGGGAAGCCUCGGGUAACGUCGGCUCUGGGUCGUCGCUGGGAGCGGUAGUUUGCACGCGCCCGGCGGCACCGCGCGCAAGCGCAGAGGGGGGCCGGUGGGAACUACACUUCCCAGGGGCCCUCGGCCGGGGGCGGGGCCGGGGCGGGGCUCCCGGCGAAGGCGACGAUUGUGGCGGCUCGUUCGUAAUGGUAGCGGCGCCUCCGGCCCGGGUCAGAGUGGCUUGAGAGGCCGGGGGACAGCCGAGCGGUGAUUCGUGGGCGAAAGGAGCGGAGGAGCUGGUGUGUUGCCUGCCCGGCACCCAGGAGGGCGGGCGGUGCGCGGACAGACCCUCGCGCCGUGGCGGACUGCAGCUGGCGUCCGCCCGGGUCGGCGCGGCCCGCGGGCGGCCGGCGGUUUGGGCCGUGGGCGGCUGCUGCGGAGGAGCGCGCCGCGCGGGUGCCUCGGUCCGCGGGGACCGGCCUCCGCGCGCGCCGUCCUGUAACCCUCGCCGCGGGGCGUCCGUGGAUUUGAAGGAGGCGCGUUGGGCGGGCUGGUGUUGGAAAUUAUUAGCUCUUCUAGCUUUUACAUUAUUUAAAUACAGUAGUGUCAUUGGACUAAAAUGUUCCUGAUGCCAACCUCUUCAGAGUUAAAUAGUGGGCAGAACUUCUUGACUCAGUGGAUGACCAAUCCUUCUCGGGCUGGGGUCAUAUUAAAUCGUGGAUUUUCUAUUUUGGAAGCAGACGAAGAGAAUCGAGCAAAUGUGAACAUUUCUACCAGCUUUCCUGUUAAAGCCACGCGUUUUUCAAAUAGUUUCAGUUUUAUAAGUGAAGAAGAUUCACUUCGUGAAGAACAGAGAUUGGAGUGUGACAGCCCUUACAAACUACAGCCUGAUAAAUCUGAAGCGCUUACCGUCUUUCCUUUAACUAAAGAGGAACUUCCAAUAGUGGCAUGUCAGGAUGCUCCUGGACACUGGGGAGAUCACAAAAAUGAUGCUGUGUCAGAUCUUGCGAGUGAAUUCAAAGAAGUGGCUUACAAAGACCCGCUUUUCAAAAAGCUUGAGCAGCUGAAAGAAGUACAACAGAAGAAGCAGGAACAACUGAAGAGGCAACAGUUAGAGCAGCUACAAAGACUCAUGGAAGAACAAGAGAGGCUGCUUACUGCGGUGUCUGGGCAGCAUACACUCCCAGGUCUAACUCUACUUCCUGAUGAUAAGAGCCAGAAGUACAGAUCUCCAGGAAAUGCAACCACUGUGGAGAAAACCGCACCCUUCUUAUCCUCAUGUAUCUACCAGAAUCAAACCCAAGAAAAAAUGCACACUUCCAACGUUUUAGCCAAUGAACAAAACUUCUGUAGGACUACUCAUCAAGAUUUUAUCUUAACUUCAAAAAGUGGUGCUUCUCCCAAUUUGUUUUAUGAGGCACAGUAUCAAGAAGCGCUUGUGAAAAAAAAUGAUUUGAAGGAAGAAAACCAAAACCGUCCUAUAGGAGAAGGUAUUUUACCAUGUUGGGAGAAAAUGACGGAACAGAUUCAGGAAGGGAAUGAUACAAAUGUAAAAAACAUUGGUGACUCCUCAGAAGUGGUGAAUAUUGAAGAAAGGCCUAUUAAAGCUGCUAUUGGAGAAAAGAAACAGACAUUUGAAGACUACUUAGAAGAACAAAUUCGGUUGGAAGAACAAGCACUAAAACAAAAACAGCUAAGGGAAACAGAAGGAUCAUUGUUAAUCAAAGCAAAACCAAAACAACCGUUCUUAAAACGAGGAGAAGGUUUAGCUAGAUUUACUAAAGCUAAAUCUAAGUUGCAGAAAGGGAGAGAAGGUGAACUAGUGACUAAUCAGAGCAUUUCAGAGGACCAAGCUGUGUUUAAAGUAGACAGACAGCAAUUCCAGCGGAAAACUGCUUUUAUAAGUAAAGAACCGUGUACAGAGAACCUUCCUGCUAGAAAAAACAGUAAAGCUGGAACGAAAAGUGGUUCUGUCACACUCAGUCAAAAGCCGAAAGUGCUUAAGAGUAAUAAUAGGAAAAGUCUGUCUCCGUCAGGAUGGAAAAUACCAGCAGGGAAGAAAGGUGAUGGGCAAUUUAGAGACCAGAUCAAAUUGAGAAGAAAAGUGGAAUCUAAUAAUAAAGAAAAUGUACCUGAGUCUACAAAACCUUUUGAUAGUGGUUGCAAAGUCUGGAAUAGCACACAAGGUAAAGACAAACUCCCCCUUUCGACUGGGCUGGCCAGCUGCAUGGCUUCUAAGAGCCUGAAAGGUGAGACCUUGAAAGAGUCAGAAUCUUCUCUUGACGUUUCUCUUCAGCAAAAGUUAGAGAACUGGGAACGAGAAAAGGAAAAGGAAAACUUGGAAUUAGAUGAAUUUUUGUUUUUAGAACAAGCUGCUGAUGAAAUAUCAUUUUCCAGUAAUUCCUCUUUUGUGCUGAAGAUCUUAGAGAGGGACCAACAGAUCUGUAAAGGUCACCGGCUGUCUUCUACCCCUGUCAAAGCUGCACAGCAGGAGAAGACGAUAGCAUCGGAUCCCAGUAGUCUCUGUAACCAAAAUGAGGAUCCAGACCUUCCUGAACAUGAAUGUAAGAGUGACUGUGAAGUCGCAACCAAGCAGCUUGAUUCAGUGGCCUCACCCGAUGGAUUGAAGGAACAGUCAUGUAAAGUCACUAGGAAAGCAUUCCAAAUGAGCACUUCUGAAAGGCAAACUAGGUGGAAGGCAAGUGAUGAUGAAGGUGUUAUGAGCAGUGACAGUAGCACUAACUCUGAGGAACAACUUGAUGUUACCGUAAAACUAUCAAUGGAGGAUAAAGAAAGGUGCUUCCGCAGCAGAGAGGAUAGUCCACAAGUCUGUGAUGGUAAGGGACCUUUUAGGGACACUGGGACUCAAGAAGAAGAUAAAAGGAGAGAUGCUGAUUUAGAUUUGUCUGAUAAAGAUUAUAGUAGUGAUGAGUCCGUCAUAAUAGAAAGCUUGAAAAAUAAAGUUUCUGAGUCCUCAAGAAGACCCUCAUCAAUAAAUAUGAGUAAAAUUGACUUUGAUGAUGAAAGAACAUGGACCGACCUUGAAGAGAAUUCAUUUAAACAUGAUGGUAUUCUUGGGAAUGAAGCCGUUUAUGGGACUCCCCAGAUAACCUACCCUAAAAAGAGUGAAAUAGGUGUAUUGGACAAAACAAUAAAAAGGAAAGUUGCCCCCGUCAAGAAUGGAGAAGACUUGAGCAGUUCCAGCAGGGGCACAAGUCCUCCUCUUGCAUCGGAUCUGAUGAUGAAAUUCUUCCCUUCUUUGAAACCUAAACCAAAAUCUGGUUCACUCUUGGGAAAUGAACCGAAGUUAUACGUAAGUCAAGACCAGCCACCUGUUGACAGUGCUCGAUCUCAAGUUUUGAGAGAGAAAGUUAUUGAAUUGGAAAUGGAAAUAGAAAAAUUUAAAGCUGAGAACACGUCUUUAGCUAAACUUCGCAUUGAACGAGAAAGAGCCUUGGAAAAACUCAGGAAAGAAAUUGCAGACUUUGAACAACAGAAAGCAAAAGAAUUAGCUCGAAUAGAAGAGUUUAAAAAGGAGGAAAUGAGGAAGCUACAAAAAGAACGCAAAGUUUUUGAAAAGUAUGCUACAGUUGCAAGAACUUUUCCAGAUAAAAAGGAACGUGAAGAAAUACAGGCUUUGAAACAGCAGAUAGCAGAUUUACAGGAAGAUUUGAAAAGAAAGGAAGCAAAAUGGUCAAGCACACAUGGUCGUCUUAGAAGCCAGAUAGAAGUUUUGGUCAAAGAGAACACAGACCUCCGGGAAGAAAUAAAAGUGAUGGAAAGAUUCCGACUAGAUGCCUGGAAGAAAGCAGAAGCUACCGAGAGCAGCACCAAGACGGGGCAGUGUGUGACUGCUGUGAAAAAAGAUGGGUCCAUGAAUUCAUCAGUCCAAUUUCAAAAGAGUCAGAUUUCUUCAGGAACCCAGGUAGAAAAAUAUAAGAAAAGCUAUUUAUCAACACAAGGCAAUCCAUCUCGAAGAUCCAAGUCCGUGCCUCCUUGUGAUUUAGGCAGUUCGGAUAAGGGACAGACUGCCUCACCCAGGGAGCUCCCUGAACCAGCGGACUUCCCAGAUCCCGACUAUAAAGAGGAGGAUGAAAAAGAGGAGAAAGAGGAAAUUCAGGGAGAAAUCAGUCAUCCUGAUGGAAAGACUGUUGAUGGGGCUUGAAGACCUGCGGUACUUUGGGCGUGACCUCGGCUUAAACCUUCGGAUUCCUCUGAAAAGACAGUGUGCAUUUAGUUGCCAUUUCUACUUCAGAGAUGCAGCUGGAGAAGGGAUACAGUCCCUUUGUUUAAACUCUUUGUUCUUCUUCCAGACAAAGCUAAAAAGCCUUUGUAAUCCUUUACUUUUAAAAAUACUUUCAAAAUACUUUUUAAAAGCCUCAGUUCUAGGCCUGCUGUUUCCUGCGGCCUUUCUUAAAUAGAGCCUGGGUCACGUGUCUCUCUCUCCAUCUCUAGCCUGCACAAGUUUAUUCUUGGGCAUCAGCAAGGUUUGGAGUGGGAAGACUGCCUGGCUGGGUAUUCCAGCUCCGAGGAGGAAUGAAAAAGGAAGGGACAUAAACAGGGUUUGUUACUGGGGAGGUGAUGAGGGAAUGUUUUCUCAGGUUUAUAAAACAUUUACUUUUCCAAAUACCCUCAUCGGAUCCAUUUUAAUUGAAAUUUUAAGGCCGGAGUUUACUGCUAGUCUUGAGGAAUGAGGGAAGGACAAAGAACAAGUGAGAGGAAGUAGUUCGACUUCCUGUACGAACUCUACUCUAGGGUAACAAAUUGUCGAUGUGGCAGGGUUUCCUGUGAUAGGAGAAUUCCAGCUAAUAAAUGGAAAAGGAAUGAGAAGGAGACCCAUCAGUUUGCAACCUCUAAUGAGGUAAAGGAUCUAGGCAGCAGUCACCACUGACUCCUGACACCGCAGAUGAAAGGUGGAUGGGGUCUCAAGGCAGGUCUGUGACCCAUCAGGCCUGGGGUCGGGGAGACAACUGCAUACCGUGCUUCUGAACCUGUUGCCACAGCAGCUCACAGCAGCACCUAGAAAGUAUUCUUAUCAGAAUAAUUCCACUGGAGGUUAAUCAAGCCUCUAGGUCUAACUACUAGCUUUUUCAAGGAGGUACAGGGGAUGUAAGAACAUGUUAAAUGACAUCAUAAUGGGAAAGCAGUCAAAUCCAGAAUGUGAGCAAUGUUCAGGGACCCAGUUCCUUCAACAAGUAAUUGGCAUUGAAGAGGAGGAAAGGACGAGACUGUUAAAAUUGAGAUUUAAGAAACACAUCAACCCAGUGUUAUAGAAAAGGUUUAUAAGAAUGGGUGCCAUGUUCUCUUGUUUCCAAAUGGAACUCAAAAAGAAGUGAGUGCAGAUGGGAAGACUGUCACCGUCACUUUCUUUAAUGGCGAUGUGAAGAAGGUCAUGCCAGACGAG
This is a non-coding RNA of Equus caballus (horse), 6064 nucleotides long. The record is from RefSeq and is a predicted model, not a curated record. NCBI's taxonomy places the organism in Eukaryota, Metazoa, Chordata, Mammalia, Perissodactyla, Equidae.